CUGUCUUCCGAAUAGUUUUCCUUAAGCAGCCUCCGCUCCUCGCUGCAAAGGGGGAAGCCAAGGACCUCACUCUCCCGCUCCCACUCCCGCUCCCGCUUGACAGAUCGGCUUCUAGAAGCCCAGAGAGGAAGAGUGACCUGCGCAAGUUAGCACAGACUGAAUACCGAGAGAGAGCCCGGAUCAGGCACUGAGUCCCCUACCUCGAGGACCUGCGCAGUCUGAUGCGAAGGCUCCAGAGGACGCCCGGAGGAGUCUACCAGGACUUGUCCCAGAAGCAGAUUUGUGAGGACAGGUCUCCCAGAUGGGGAAUCGGACCUCGAGACUUGUUGAGGGGCCCCGGGGAAGGUGACCGCACUGUGGGCUCGCAUCAUUUCCUCUUUCUGGAAAUAAAGGAGGUGCUCCCAUGUGGCUGAAUCAGGGGCCUCACACAUGGUAAAGUGUGCACUCUACCAGGUCUAAUCUGAAACUGGACACCAUCCACAGAGGACAAGGAGAGACUGAAAAAGAGAUUGUGUGCUGAAUUGUGUUCCUUCCUCUCAAGUUCAUAUGGGGCAGCCAUCACCCUCAGUACCUCAGGAAGUGACUGUCUACAGAAGUGGGGCCUUCACAGAGGGGAUUAAGCUUAUCUGAGUCCCAUUGAUGGCCCUCAUCCAGUGUGACUGAUGUCCCUAGAAGAAAAUGUUGAAAGACAGAGAAGAUACUGGAGGAAGAGGACUUUUUUUUUUUUUAAGAUUUUAUUUAUUAAUGAGAAAGAUAGGAGGAGAGAAAGAACCAGACAUCACUCUGAUACAUGUGCUGCUGGGGAUUGAACUCAGGACCUCAUGCUUGAGAGUCCAAUGCUUUAUCCACUGCACCACCUCCCGGACCACAGAAGAGGACUUUCUACAAGCCAAGAAAAUGGACUUCAGAAGAAACCAACCCAGCCGUCAGCCCAGACUUCCAGACCUCCAGAAUUAUGAGAAAUCUCUGUCACUUUAGCCAUCCAAUUUGUGAUCUUUUGUUUUCCAGCCCUAAAAAACUAGUGUAGAUGAUGAGCUAUACCCAUGGGAGACUACUUUGUUCACUAGUUUCCAAGGCUUCCCAAAGCCCUGCAAGUGUUUGUUGUAUAAAUAAAGAGACUCUGCUUUACGAAGCUAUUGGAAACAUUCUGAUGAAACAUAUUAUCGGUCCUGGCACAUAUUAGGACAAUAAACAGCACUUGAAAAUGCAGCAAAACAGUAUUUGGAGGAUUACAAACUGAAAUUUCAAUUUCUUUACCCUCAAUUUCUAUCUUGUUGUGACUACAGAUGCUGUUUUCCUCAACUAGCUACCCACCCAGCUGUGUCACUCUUUGCCUCUGGGGAAGGAGACAGAAAAUCUGGAUCAGACAUAAACUGUUCCUUGGUCUUGAAUUCAAAAUAGAAUUUGGACUGGGGAGCCAGCAUAAUGGUUAUAAAAUAAUGUUAUGCCUGAGGCUCUGAGUUCCCAGGUUCAAUCCCUAAUAGCACCAUAGCCAGAGCUGAGCAGUGCCCUAGAGAAAGAAAGAAAGAAAGAAAGAAAGAAAGAAAGAAAGAAAGAAAGAAAGAAAGAGACAGAGAGAGAGAAGGAAGGAAGCAAGAGGGAGGGAGGGAGGAAGGAAGGAAGGAAAAAGGAAAGAAAGAAAGAAAGAAAGAAAGAAAAGAAUAAAAGAAAGAAAGAAAAAAAGAAAAGAAAGAGAGAGAAAGAAAGGAAAGAAAGAAAGAAAGAAAGGAAGGAAGGAAGGAAGGAAGGAAGGAAGGAAGAAAGGAAGGAAGGAAAAAGAAAAGAAUGGGUGGUAGUGCAGCAGGUUAAGCGCCAAGUGGCGCAAAGUGCAAGGACCUGUGUUAAGGAUCCCGGUUCAAGCCCCCGGCUCCCCACCUUCAGGGGAGUCACUUCACAGGUGGUGAAGCAAGUCUGCAGGUGUCUAUCUUUCUCUCCUCCCUCUGUCUUCCCUUCUUGUCUCCAUUUCUCUCUGUCCUAUUCAACAACGACGACAUCAAUAACAACAACAAUCAAAACUACAAUAGGGAGUCGGGCGGUAGAGCAGCGGGUUAAGCGCACGUGGCGCAAAACACAAGGACCUGCCUAAGAAUGCCAGUUCGAGCCCCCGGCUCCCCACCUGCAAGGGAGUCACUUCACAGAUGGUGAAGCAGAUCUUCAGGUGUCUGUCUUUCUUCCCCCUCUCCGUUUUCCCCUCCUCUUUUUAUUUCUCUCUGUCCUAUCCAACAACGAUGACAUCAAUAACAAUAAUAACUACAACAAUUUAAAAAAAAAAACCCAAGGGCAACAAAAGGGAAUAAAUAUUUAAAAAAAGAAAGAAGAUUUUUAAAAAAGAAAAGAAUCAAAGAAGAAAGAGAAUUUGUAAGUCCACAGCCCAGAUGAUUGCCAGAAAGUCAAAGCAUUUUCAUGUGUCACUGCCUUAGAUAGGAGAAUAAAGGUCUUUUGGAAUUUUGGAAACAAAGAGGCUACACCACCAUUAGCCCAAGUUGAAUAGUAUUCUGAUAUCUCUCUCCCAUUAAAAGUAAAUAAAGAAAGUAUUAAAAAAAAUAAAGAAGCAAUACUUGUUUUAAGAAUGUCACAUAUCCAUCCCUUAACAAUAUAUUAGUUGAGGCUCAGCUUCUGAACUAUUAGUAAAAUGAA
Long non-coding RNA from Erinaceus europaeus (western European hedgehog), 2637 nucleotides. RefSeq lists it as uncharacterized. The transcript has 4 exons. NCBI's taxonomy places the organism in Eukaryota, Metazoa, Chordata, Mammalia, Eulipotyphla, Erinaceidae. The record is from RefSeq and is a predicted model, not a curated record.